This is a long non-coding RNA of Gallus gallus (chicken), 907 nucleotides long. RefSeq lists it as uncharacterized. The transcript is spliced from 4 exons. The record is from RefSeq and is a predicted model, not a curated record. NCBI's taxonomy places the organism in Eukaryota, Metazoa, Chordata, Aves, Galliformes, Phasianidae.
UCUUCCGCCGCCUCUCCCACACCGCCACUCCGCGAGUUUAGCCUUCACCAGCCCUUGGAACCAGAAGUUGCAAGAAGGACAGUGCCGCUCACCCCCUCCUCCUCACAAGCAAACGGCCCGGCGAGGACACGCGCACGGCGCGGCCGGCAGGAAGCGGCAGGCGGGCACCUACCCCACGUUGGGCAGCCCGACGAUCCCGAUCUUCAGGGACGUCCCGAACCUGCCGAUAAUCGGGUGCGCCUUCACCCCGUCGCCUGCCUUCUUCGGGGCCAUCUGGGGACGCAGAGCAGCGCUCGCAAUGACUCUACGAGAAUCAGCUCCACAGUUCCUAUGAAGGGGAACGCAGGAACUCAGAGCCCCUUCAACCUUCAGAUGCGGGACUGGAUGUGACCCUCUGCUCAGCUCCAGGAAGAAGUGGAUGGUUUCUAAAGUCAGCAUUCCUACAGGACGGACACCAUCAAGUGUUUGCCUGCUAAGAAAAUUGAAGGAGAGAAGACAGUAAAAACUGUUCUUACAGUACGUCCUAUUUUAAGUCCGCAAGAUUAAAUUCUCAGAACUUGAAAAACACCAGAGUGAAGGAGUCAAGGUGAGAGUAUCAUCAGAUUAUAUAUCAUCUAGGUCACAAUAAGAAGAAUAUAAUCUUGAACAUUGGGGGAAAAAAAGAUUCUUCGAAAUUAAUCUUUAGCGUUCGCCGUGAUUUGUUUCUGUUUUGCACUACGUCCCUGAGUCCAGCUCUCCUCCAGUUAAUUUUGUUUUCUUUAUUUUUAUCCACUUGCUAUGACUGUUCUACUACUUGUGCCACCGCGGCGUGUCAGUCCUUUAUGGGAUCCCCGUUUCGUCUCUGCCUUUCACUGUGAUUUUCCAUCAUUAUGGGCCUCUUGAAUAAAAAUGUAGCCCUUGUUUCUGA